CCUCCAAAGAUUCCCUCAGGAUAGCUGGUACUCAUCCGUCUAUCCAGUAAAACAAAUAAUUAGAGGUCUUGGGGCCAAAACAAUCUCAACCUAUUCUCAAACUUUAAAUGGGUAAGAAGCUCAGCUCGCUGGCCUGGAGCCACCCAGUGGACCACUUUUGGUAAACAGAACUGGUGCUGUGGGAUAAACCAAAUGCUGAUGCUCAUCUGGUGUUGGUUGAUAUAGAGAGCAGGAUGGUGGCCAUGGAAGUUGGAAUCCACCAAGGAGUGUGUAACAACUCCCCUGCUGAGUCAUCUAGUCCUGAAAAUGGAUGGGACUGGAGCACUAGGCCCAUACCCGGCUGUUAUGGGUGAUGUAACAGCCCGUAACAGGUGAUGUGGACCUUGGGUGCUACGCCAUGACAAGUAGGAAG
Molecule: non-coding RNA, 412 nt
Filed under: Anolis carolinensis (green anole)
Lineage: Eukaryota; Metazoa; Chordata; Lepidosauria; Squamata; Anolidae
Description: Eukaryotic large subunit ribosomal RNA
Rfam family: Eukaryotic large subunit ribosomal RNA
Source: Rfam by way of RNAcentral